This 67-nucleotide transfer RNA is filed under the name Marmota monax (woodchuck). RNAcentral describes it as "tRNA.Thr". The record is from RNAcentral. Lineage: Eukaryota; Metazoa; Chordata; Mammalia; Rodentia; Sciuridae.
GGUUGUGGCUUAAAGGAAGAGCACUCGCCUAGUAUGCAUGAGGCCCUGGGUUUGAUCCUCAGCACCA